GACGAACGCUGGCGGCGUGCCUAAUACAUGCAAGUAGAACGCUGAAGAGAGGAGCUUGCUCUUCUUGGAUGAGUUGCGAACGGGUGAGUAACGCGUAGGUAACCUGCCUUGUAGCGGGGGAUAACUAUUGGAAACGAUAGCUAAUACCGCAUAACAAUGGAUGACACAUGUCAUUUAUUUGAAAGGGGCAAUUGCUCCACUACAAGAUGGACCUGCGUUGUAUUAGCUAGUAGGUGAGGUAACGGCUCACCUAGGCGACGAUACAUAGCCGACCUGAGAGGGUGAUCGGCCACACUGGGACUGAGACACGGCCCAGACUCCUACGGGAGGCAGCAGUAGGGAAUCUUCGGCAAUGGGGGCAACCCUGACCGAGCAACGCCGCGUGAGUGAAGAAGGUUUUCGGAUCGUAAAGCUCUGUUGUAAGUCAAGAACGAGUGUGAGAGUGGAAAGUUCACACUGUGACGGUAGCUUACCAGAAAGGGACGGCUAACUACGUGCCAGCAGCCGCGGUAAUACGUAGGUCCCGAGCGUUGUCCGGAUUUAUUGGGCGUAAAGCGAGCGCAGGCGGUUUGAUAAGUCUGAAGUUAAAGGCUGUGGCUCAACCAUAGUUCGCUUUGGAAACUGUCAAACUUGAGUACAGAAGGGGAGAGUGGAAUUCCAUGUGUAGCGGUGAAAUGCGUAGAUAUAUGAAGGAACACCGGUGGCGAAAGCGGCUCUCUGGUCUGUAACUGACGCUGAGGCUCGAAAGCGUGGGGAGCGAACAGGAUUAGAUACCCUGGUAGUCCACGCCGUAAACGAUGAGUGCUAGGUGUUGGAUCCUUUCCGGGAUUCAGUGCCGCAGCUAACGCAUUAAGCACUCCGCCUGGGGAGUACGACCGCAAGGUUGAAACUCAAAGGAAUUGACGGGGGCCCGCACAAGCGGUGGAGCAUGUGGUUUAAUUCGAAGCAACGCGAAGAACCUUACCAGGUCUUGACAUCCCGAUGCUAUUUCUAGAGAUAGAAAGUUACUUCGGUACAUCGGUGACAGGUGGUGCAUGGUUGUCGUCAGCUCGUGUCGUGAGAUGUUGGGUUAAGUCCCGCAACGAGCGCAACCCCUAUUGUUAGUUGCCAUCAUUCAGUUGGGCACUCUAGCGAGACUGCCGGUAAUAAACCGGAGGAAGGUGGGGAUGACGUCAAAUCAUCAUGCCCCUUAUGACCUGGGCUACACACGUGCUACAAUGGUUGGUACAACGAGUUGCGAGUCGGUGACGGCAAGCUAAUCUCUUAAAGCCAAUCUCAGUUCGGAUUGUAGGCUGCAACUCGCCUACAUGAAGUCGGAAUCGCUAGUAAUCGCGGAUCAGCACGCCGCGGUGAAUACGUUCCCGGGCCU
RNAcentral lists this ribosomal RNA (1369 nucleotides) under uncultured bacterium. RNAcentral's name for it is "bacterial SSU rRNA". It matches the Rfam family "Bacterial small subunit ribosomal RNA", at positions 28 to 1381 of the family's 1533-position model. The record is from RNAcentral.